This 1805-nucleotide long non-coding RNA is filed under the name Olea europaea subsp. europaea. The record is from RNAcentral. Lineage: Eukaryota; Viridiplantae; Streptophyta; Magnoliopsida; Lamiales; Oleaceae.
AAGAAAUUGUACAAUCGAGAGAAAAAAGGUAAGAACAAUAACAAUCCCGCUACACGUAUUUGUCGCUUGACUUGCUGGGUUACACGCUGACGUGUCCAAGAAAAGAAAUAAACGGGUCUAGACUCUUGAACCGGCCCCAAAUGCAUCAAACCCUACCGCUAUUUCACUCUCAGCCGCCUCACCCCAAAUGAAGAAAAUCUCUCAUGAAUCAACUAAUGCGAGGAGAUAUAAGGCUACAAGAUUGAAGCCCACCGUACACAGCAGAAUCGGCCGUCGUUGAGGCCUUCUUCUUCGGCAAAAUAUCCGACUGUAGGGGUUCUAGCCUUGCCUCGAUUUCGUCAAAUUUCAGUUUCGCCUCUCUACUUCACGAUCAUUUGCAGGACCCUGAAGGUGCGUUUCUUAUACUUUAUGUGAUAGAAGCAAUUAUAUAAAUAUUUAAUCGUUCUUAUUUCACGACGAAAUUAGUAAUUUUAAAUAUUACUCCGGCACGCUUUGCUCGAACAGUUGGUGGAGAGUCGACGACUUGUUAUGAAAGUGGGAACGACAAUUUUGCAAUAUAUGAUAAUUUGGGCAUCGUUGGACUUAGUAUAAUGGGAAUAUCUCUGUCUGAGUAUAAUCUGGGCAUCUAUUUGGACUUAGUAUAAUGGGAAUAUCUCUGUCUGAAAUUGUUGAUUUGAACUUGAAGUAAUAGACGGUUUGCUGUUAAAUUCUGUGAAUUUUUGAAGUAAUAGAGGUUUUGAAAUAUAGUUGUAUUAACCCAUUGUUGAAUUCAUAAUGGGAAUAUCUCUGUUUGCUGUUUGAAUUAAAUUGUGUUAUUAUUGCUAGUUUUGAGUUAUAUACACAGGCACAAAUUGUGUUAAAGUGAACAGAAUCUGAAUGUUUUGUUUGUUGUUCAGACAUUUAUGUUUGGUUUUAUAUUCGGUUAUUGUGAGUAACUUGAUUGCACUGUGCAAGGGAAUUUUGUUAAAAAUGUUGUUUAGUUAUUUAAUGUAGUGUGUAAUAUGUGUGUCGUUUGUGUGUAGCAUGUGGGAAAGAACUCCGGACUUUGUCAUAGCUGUAGAGAGAAUGAUCACUUGUUUGCGGAUUGCCCAAACAAAAGGUGAUGCCCCUUGUGUAAAUGGGGAAUUGUAAAGUGCUUCGAGGUCGAGAGGGAGACAAAGAACAAGGGAAGAUUGUUCGAGUGCUGCAAUGCUAAUUGUAAAUAUUGGGCAUGGGUCGAUGUGGGAGAAUCAAGCAGUGGGUCAAGUAAUGUUACCGCUAACUCGAACAAUCAUGCAGCACUUGAAGAUGUUCAGCAAUUCUCUCGCAUGUUCCAGUCUCUUUGUCACGUGGUCUCUAAGGAACGAAACAUUGAGAUUUCUUUGAAUGUGACAAUAAGGAAUGCCAACGAAAGUGCGGAAGUGGAUGUGAAAGGGAAGGGGCCAGCAUGAUUAGUGGUUAGCUGAAUAAGUGAUUAGUGUAGUUGAUGUAUUCUAUUAAUAUUGGUGUUUGCACUAAGGUGUUGGCCAGAAAAUUAUUCCUCGCAAACGGUCAUGUUCUUGUCUUAAUGUGAUUAUUUUGGCUUGAGGUUAUUUUUAUGAAAAGCUAGUGUGUGUGAAAUAUUAUUUCAUAUUAAUAGCUUCUAGUUACAUUUUUGAAAGAAAACCGUCAUACAGAUCAUCACUUAGCAGUUUUCUUCUUACGUUUUGCUGUAAAUUUAAGCAUAGAUAGACUUGUGUUUCUAUAUAGAAACUAGAGAGAAAUCUAUCUGUCUGUGGCGUUAGUUGAUAAAUGAUGUUUCCUGCUGAUUGUAUCUUAACUGCAAC